GUUUGUGUCGACAUGUCCUGUGUUUUACCGUCAAAACAACGCUCGUCGUCAGCAUUACCCGCUCUCGGGGUUCCUCUGAAGAAUGAGUACAGUGUUUCAGUUCAGUGGUAUAGUGUUUCAGUUUCCGUGAAAGGAAGAGAGAUAAUGCACAUCCAACUAAAUCCCACUGGAAUGCUUGUCAGGAGCCAUGAGACUGAAAGCUAAAACUUCAGCAAGAUGCACAAUGCUGGAGGUAAAAGAAGUGGGGAAAAUACUGACAUGGACAACAAGAUCAGUGACUGUUAAGUUACAGUGGACCAUGCCAUAAGAUUGCAUUCCAAUGCUGUUGUGUUUUCUCUCAGUGGGGUGAUGUAAUUGGAUUGUGAAAAAAAAUAAUAGUCAGCUAUUGUCUGUAAUAUCAACUGUGUGUCAAUACUAGGUAAUCUUGCCAAGGCAAGUAAAAAACGUCAGCAAUUAAUUGGUUCUUUCCCUUUAGGCUAGAAAAGGCCUUAGAAACACUUAUUUUUUCUAGUUUAAUUUCCAUGCUGCAGUGCUCAUGCCUGAAUGUAACAAAGCUUGAUGGGACAUGUUUCGUAUAACUAUAAUUGUACAGCAGCAGUCACAUCUAAAUACUUCUAUUUUAAGGGGUGCAGCGAUGGUCUGUCAUUUGCAAACCCAUGCAUGAGCACCCACACGAACACGUUUUAUUUCAACAUCUGAAAAUUGGGGGAAGAAAAAACUGAGCAGCAAUUAUUUUUUAAAAAAUAUUUUAAUGCACCAUUAAUAAAGGGUCCAACGCAUUAAUACAAGAGAAAUAUUGCAAAUAAUAUUAAAACUUUAAAUCAAAUUAAAAGAAAAAAAAAACAACAAAAACAAAAAUAACUGAAUGAUAGGUAUGUACAAUUAUUUUCUUGCAAUGGGAAGUAGGAAAAGGAUGAACAUAUUUACAGACUAGAACCAGUGUGUUUCUACGAGAAACAAACACCUCUACAAUAUUUACAUGUAAUUCUUUUUAACUUUUUUGUCAUUUUCGUUUUUUUAUGGUUACACUUCUGUGGAUCAGUUUUUACUGAAAGACUGCAGUAAAAUCUACAUAUUUUACAGGGUUUCCUCUCAAAAGGAACAGAAUGCUGGCAAGGCCCUCUUACAAAGUGUGGGGAAAAAAAGGGGGGAAAACAAUGUAAUGUCAUGUCAACAUGUCACUUUAUGGCAGAGCGGAGCAGAGAGAGAGAGAGAGAGAGAGACGACCAGUAAUAUGAAAGGACAGAACAGCAGGAACAGACAUGACCAUCUGUUCUAGUGAAUCUCUGCACAUGCACAUCUCUCAGAGGAAUUGGGACUUUCAUUUUGUGGUGAAAUAUAUAAAUACGCAUACCCUAUUUUGGAUCUUGGACUCUUAGAAAAUGAGUUAUGAGGAAAUACAUAUUUUACGUUUAUAUUCUCCUUAGCACUAGCAGAGGAGUUAGUGCGCUGUCUCUCAAAACGUAUGCCCGAUUCCUCCACAAUUCUUCAGUGGUCUACAAUAAUAUCAAUGCCAAAAGAAAACAAUGCAUAUUGCCAUCCUUUUGCUAAAAUAUCAAUGUGCAUAUAUUUCAGCACGCCAAAAAGACGACCUUAUCUGUCCUGUUCUUCUCGUAUUGCUAAAAACUAUGAACGAAAGGGAUAUCACUUCAUGUAAGGGGUGAAUUAAAAUGAUGGCAGGUACAUGAUAACUUCUGAUAACUGUUUUUACAGUGUACUAGCAUUGUAACAACUAAUUUGUGAAAAAUAGAAUAAAUGUACAAUGUAACAACUUACAAUACUAGACCAUUUUUGAAUACCAGCACAUUAUGCUGGAAAAGGAGACAUUUAAUUAAGAUCGGUUGAACUUUGAGGAAGUUUCAAAAGAAAUGUGGAGAUACUAUGCAGACAAUCUGAAGAAUGUACAGCAACAGAUCUGACCUAAAUAAACGACAUGAGCGAACAGGCCUCAGAACAGGGACAAUAAAUAAUGAACUAAAAUUAUUACUCUCUCUCACGACAGGGGUGAAGUCUUAAAUCCAUGUUUUUAGGUAGGACUUUAAAAGUUGCCCUUGGAAAAAAGACCCAGCACUUUAAAGGUGUUUGCCACUGUCAGACGUUGUGCAUAAGUGAGCAGAAUGUGUGUGUGUGUGUGUGUGCAGAUGCUGAACAACUUCAAAGCAUAGACCUUGGCAAAAUAACACUAUCAAACACAGCUGCAACAGGAGGAACAAAACUGAUAAGGGCCAGGUCAGGAGAAAGAAAAA
Long non-coding RNA from Onychostoma macrolepis, 2246 nucleotides. RefSeq lists it as uncharacterized. NCBI's taxonomy places the organism in Eukaryota, Metazoa, Chordata, Actinopteri, Cypriniformes, Cyprinidae. The record is from RefSeq and is a predicted model, not a curated record. The transcript is spliced from 2 exons.